RNAcentral lists this long non-coding RNA (515 nucleotides) under Helianthus annuus (common sunflower). RNAcentral describes it as "hypothetical non coding rna". Lineage: Eukaryota; Viridiplantae; Streptophyta; Magnoliopsida; Asterales; Asteraceae. The record is from RNAcentral.
GUUUAAAGAAUGUAUGUACAGGUAAGUGCAGAACUCAACGUAAGCUACACUGAGACAACGUAGCUUACAUCGGCGAAGUUGCUACACCAUUAGUCUUUUGUGUUACUGCGCCACGUACACCACCUUAUAUGCCCGGUUCGGCGCCGAUUGCGUCUAUGAGUUUUUCCUCGUAAAGCUCCAAAAUAGUAAAGUUCGGGUUCAAAGUGGAGCCCCCAUUUAGUGAAGCAGGAGCUAAAUAUCCCGAGUUGAAAUUAAUGAAGCCUUCGUUUAAGGCCUGUGAAAUGCUCUCUACUUGGUUGACGAUUGGUGAUCGAGUCUCAAAGCGGUUCAAGAACACACAUCAUGAUGUUGGUCGACAUUUUGAAAAUGCGUCAACAAUUUGUUAAGUUGUUUCAUGCAACUUUUUCUUUGGUUUUAAAUAACUCGGUCAAACUUGACACACAGUCUACAUAUAAUGAUAGGUGUGUUUGACUCCAAACAAAUUAUAUAUAUAAACAAAAAAAUGGGACCUAUUU